GAAAAGAAAAUAACUAUGAUUCGGUUAGUAGCGGCGAGCGAACCCCGAUUAGUUCAAGCCUUUAAUCACAGUCCUUUUUGGACCUGUGAAUUGUGGUCUACCCGUAGUUACCAGAUUGACAUCUCGGUUAAUUCUUUUGGAAUGUAGGAUCAUAGAGGGUGAUAAUCCCGUCCACUGAGAUCGUCAAUCAUUAGGUACUGUUGGUGCGAGUCGUGUUGCUUGGGACUGCAGCACAAAUUUGGAGGUAAUAUCCUUCUAAAACUAAAUAUUAUCGAGAGACCGAUAGCGAACAAGUACCGUGAGGGAAAGAUGAAAAGGACUUUGAAAAGAAUGUUAAAAGUACGUGAAAUCGUUAGUGGAAAGCGAAUGGCAUACCCUUAGCGUGUGCUCUCCGGUCGUUACGGGUUUCAUUUCACAGCAAUGUGUAUGUCUUCCACGCGACUUGAUUGCAGAGGAUUAGAUAGGCUUUUCUGGUUGUACGUUGUGAUCCGACUUUCUUUACUUCUCGCUACGGUGAAGGUAUCGGCUGUUUGUUCCCUCUUGCUUCCUAUUGUCAUCUUGACGCUAUUAUGGUGUUGUCAUCCGACCCGUCUUGAAACACGGACCAAGGAGUCUAACGUAUGUGCGAGUAUUUGGGUGGCAAACCCUUAUGCGGAGAGAAAUCGAUCGAAUGAUAACAUUAAUUGUUCCUCAUCGGCUGUGAGUGAUUCUUCGGAUGAAAUAAACUCGCUUUAGCAUGUAUG
This 743-nucleotide ribosomal RNA is filed under the name Acanthochiasma sp. JD-2012. RNAcentral's name for it is "eukaryotic LSU rRNA". It matches the Rfam family "Eukaryotic large subunit ribosomal RNA", at positions 56 to 808 of the family's 3401-position model. The record is from RNAcentral. Lineage: Eukaryota; Acantharea; Holacanthida; Acanthochiasmidae.